Mauremys reevesii (Reeves's turtle) is the source of this 1854-nucleotide long non-coding RNA. RefSeq lists it as uncharacterized. The record is from RefSeq and is a predicted model, not a curated record. The transcript is spliced from 7 exons. Lineage: Eukaryota; Metazoa; Chordata; Testudines; Geoemydidae.
GGAUCAGAGAGUGAGCAAGCCCCUCAGUCAGAGUUGGCUGAGGAAGCACUGGCUCUGAAGGAGGGGACACUGAAGCAAGUGUACCUGGUAUGCUGAGAACUGCCACAGGAGGGUGCUCCAGUUCUCAUGGAUGAGCAUGCUGUUUGUGGCAACCCUCUGAAGAUUUAAUUAAGUGGAAGCAGGAUCAGUCCCUAACUUUGUAAACAGAACUCAAGCACUGAUGAAUGUGUAACCUAUGUAACAGGAAGGAUCUUGUUAGGAGCUGGUUUACCUGCUUGGUCUCUCUUUGUCCUGAGAGGGAACCAACCAAAAAACACCAACAAAAACUUUCAAAUCUGGGGGGAAGAUCUUCUUUUCCCCAUUGGUCCUUCUAGUCAGAUGCCAGUGAGAAUUUGUCCUGGAAACCCCCACAAAAGUGUUAUCUGAGGUGGCUUCAGAAACCAAUGGAAAGCUAGAUGCUGGCAUAAAUCCACAUAACUCAUUGAAGUUAAUGGAGCUACAUCAAUUUACAACAGCUGAGGAUCUGGUCUAUCAGUCUUAGUAGAUCAAACAGUUGCCAACAUCUUCAGUGAGAGAUUCCCAGAUGGUCUGCCUGUAACCAACAGCACUCCUUUAGAUGUCUUGGUAUUGUCUAGCAUUGACUGACUGAAAUUGUAUGUCACUUCUAGCAGUAGAGUCUCAACUUCCAAAAGGUGGUAAAACAAAUUAAAAAUAGCAGUCCCAGCAGUCCCACUAGCUGUAUAACUCAUGUGUAGGACUUAUAUUUAAGAAGAUACUUGUGGAUGGAUGAGUAGUUUGGACAUUCUGUAUCAUUCUUUCUCUAGCCAAUACACCCAGGAAAAUGACUAACUUGUUAGGACAAUGCCUUGUCUCCCUAAGGCCAUGUCUAUACUACCACUUUUGUCGGUAUAAAUUAUGUCACUCAGGGAUGUGAAAAAACAGACCCAAGAGUGAUAUUGGUUACACCAACAGAAGCGCCAGUGUGGACAGUGCUAUGUUGGUGGGAGAGCUUCUACUGCCGACAUAGCUACUGUCACUCAUGGAGAUGGUUUUAUUAUGUUGACGGGGGAAUUUGCUCCUGUCGGUAUAGAGCCGCUAUGUGAGCAAUCUCUCAGUGGCUCAGCUUCAUCAGUACAUCUGUGCCAUUGUAAGCUUGCUAGUGUAGACAUGGCCUCUGUCUAGUUUUAAUCUUUUGAUAUGCCUGACUAUAAUCAUAUAAGUCUCCUCAAAAGUAGACAUUUUCAGACAGGGAACUGAGAGCUAAAACUGUAGUGACGGUAGAUAUAAUACUAGCAGAUAUCUGUUUUAAAUAAUCCUGGCUCAUAAAUUGUAGGUAGUAAGUCCAUAUAGUUCAAAUACAAAGAAAAAGAGGCUUUGGAUUUGUCUCUUCUCCCCCUCCACCCCCACCACCAAAAAAAACCAAAAACAAAAAAACCCCAAUGAUUUAGUCCUAAUCUUCCCUGGAAAGCUAUUCAAAAUUAGAAAUAUUUAAAAAUCUGUGGGGAAAGCAUCUUGAAAGAUUUAAUAGCCAACUUUCUGUUUUGUUUGCUGCUUGUCCUUUUUUCAUUGACCAUAACCUUUAAAUUUUACAUCCUGCUUUGGAAUUCUGUGUUCAGUGACUAAUUGGUUUCCUUGUGUUACGACAGUGAAGUGCAUGAAAGUAAAGGCAUAAAUUAAGGUCACGCAUUCACAGUAACUAACCUGGGACAGAUUUUGAAAUAUACUAAUAGGCCAAAUGCCCUAUUGCUUUUAGCCACAAUGCUGAAGCACAGAUUAACCUUAGGACCUGUAGUUCAAUUACAUGAUGCAGCCUGAUAGUGUAAGGCCUGGUCUACACUAGGAGUUUGUCAAAUU